CCUACGGGAGGCAGCAGUGAGGAAUAUUGGUCAAUGGGCGCGAGCCUGAACCAGCCAAGUAGCGUGAAGGAUGACUGCCCUACGGGUUGUAAACUUCUUUUAUAAAGGAAUAAAGUGAGCCACGUGUGCCUUUUUGUGUGUACUUUAUGAAUAAGGAUCGGCUAACUCCGUGCCAGCAGCCGCGGUAAUACGGAGGAUCCGAGCGUUAUCCGGAUUUAUUGGGUUUAAAGGGAGCGUAGAUGGGUCGUUAAGUCAGUUGUGAAAGUUUGCGGCUCAACCGUCAAAUUGCAGUUGAAACUGGCAGUCUUGAGUACAGUAGAGGUGGGCGGAAUUCGCGGUGUAGCGGUGAAAUGCUUAGAUAUCGCGAAGAACUCCGAUUGCGAAGGCAGCUCACUGGACUGCAACUGACACUGAUGCUCGAAAGUGUGGGUAUCAAACAGGAUUAGAUACCCCAGUAGUC
This 460-nucleotide ribosomal RNA is filed under the name uncultured bacterium. RNAcentral's name for it is "partial 16S ribosomal RNA". It matches the Rfam family "Bacterial small subunit ribosomal RNA", at positions 338 to 795 of the family's 1533-position model. The record is from RNAcentral.